This 711-nucleotide non-coding RNA is filed under the name Psylla alni. The record is from RNAcentral. Lineage: Eukaryota; Metazoa; Arthropoda; Insecta; Hemiptera; Psyllidae.
AUGCAAAAUUUUGUGUAAUACUUAUUAUUUAUUUUAGAUAGAGAAAAAGCAGUAAUUAUAAUUAUAUUUUUUAAUGAAAGUUAGAACUAUAAAUUGAUUUAGAGCUCAACUAAUUUUGUGCCAGCAGUUGCGGUUAUACAAUUGAGCUAAUAAAAUUUUAAAAAUAAAUUAGUUAUUCUUGUUUUUUAUUUAAAUUGAAAAUUUAAGGGUAAAAUCUAAUUUUUUAAGUUGAAAUUUAUACAUAUAAUUAAGAAACUAAAGCAUAAAUUAGGAUUAGAUACCCUAUUAUAUAAGUGUAAAUUUAUUGGAGUAGUAAGAGUUAGGAUCUUUAAACUCAAAAAAUUUGGCGGUAUUUUAUCUUAUUAGAGGAACCUGUUUAAUAAUUGAUAUUCCACAACUUAAACUUACUUCUAUUAAAUUAUUUGUAUACCGCUGUCAUGAAUCUAUUAAAAAAUUAUUUUCAAAAUUUAUUAUGUAAGUUAUGUUAGGUCAAGGUGCAGUAUGUAGAUGAACAAAAUGGGUUACAUUAUUUAAUAUGAAUGGAGAUAUAUUACGAUAUAAUAUAAAAAAUAGGAUUUAUAAGUAAAAAAUUUAUUAAAGAUUUUAUAUGAAUAAAGAUUCUAAAAUAUGUACACAUUGCCCGUCGCUCUUGUUUAAAAUAAGAUAAGUCGUAACAUAGUAGAUGUACUGGAAAGUGCCUCUGGAAUUAUG